Molecule: unclassified non-coding RNA, 304 nt
Filed under: plant metagenome
Description: partial contains 5.8S ribosomal RNA, internal transcribed spacer 2, and large subunit ribosomal RNA
Rfam family: 5.8S ribosomal RNA (bases 1-105)
Source: RNAcentral
GAAAUGCGAUAAGUAGUGUGAAUUGCAGAAUUCAGUGAAUCAUCGAAUCUUUGAACGCACAUUGCGCCCCUUGGUAUUCCAUGGGGCAUGCCUGUUCGAGCGUCAUUUGUACCUUCAAGCUUUGCUUGGUGUUGGGUGUUUGUCUCGCCUCUGCGUGUAGACUCGCCUCAAAACAAUUGGCAGCCGGCUUAUUGAUUUCGGAGCGCAGUACAUCUCGCGCUUUGCACUCAUAACGACGACGUCCAAAAGUACAUUUUUACACUCUUGACCUCGGAUCAGGUAGGGAUACCCGCUGAACUUAAGC